UCUAAGGUCUGAAGGCCAGAACAUUGGUGGU
RNAcentral lists this non-coding RNA (31 nucleotides) under Mus musculus (house mouse). Lineage: Eukaryota; Metazoa; Chordata; Mammalia; Rodentia; Muridae. The record is from RNAcentral.